This 496-nucleotide ribosomal RNA is filed under the name uncultured bacterium. RNAcentral's name for it is "partial 16S ribosomal RNA". It matches the Rfam family "Bacterial small subunit ribosomal RNA", at positions 28 to 506 of the family's 1533-position model. The record is from RNAcentral.
GAUGAACGCUGGCGGCGUGCCUAAUACAUGCAAGUCGAGCGAACGGACGAGAAGCUUGCUUUUCUGAUGUUAGCGGCGGACGGGUGAGUAACACGUGGAUAACCUACCUAUAAGACUGGGAUAACUUCGGGAAACCGGAGCUAAUACCGGAUAAUAUUUUGAACCGCAUGGUUCAAAAGUGAAAGACGGUCUUGCUGUCACUUAUAGAUGGAUCCGCGCUGCAUUAGCUAGUUGGUAAGGUAACGGCUUACCAAGGCAACGAUGCAUAGCCGACCUGAGAGGGUGAUCGGCCACACGGGAACUAAGACACGGUCCAGACUCCUACGGGAGGCAGCAGUAGGGAAUCUUCCGCAAUGGGCGAAAGCCUGACGGAGCAACGCCGCGUGAGUGAUGAAGGUCUUCGGAUCGUAAAACUCUGUUAUUAGGGAAGAACAUAUGUGUAAGUAACUGUGCACAUCUUGACGGUACCUAAUCAGAAAGCCACGGCUAACUACGU